This is a long non-coding RNA of Rosa rugosa (rugosa rose), 1139 nucleotides long. RefSeq lists it as uncharacterized. The transcript is spliced from 6 exons. The record is from RefSeq and is a predicted model, not a curated record. Lineage: Eukaryota; Viridiplantae; Streptophyta; Magnoliopsida; Rosales; Rosaceae.
UUCAGUUGGAGGGAUUUUUUCUCUUAAAUCUUGAAGUAGGCGGGUUCUUAAACACACUUUUCAAAAUUGAAAAAUCAAAGUCUUUUUCAAGCGCGGCAUGCCAAAGCGCUAUUAUUAAGUACAGACCCAAAAAAAUUAAAAUCCCUAGUUCACAAUUCUAACCCCUCUUAGAUUCAUUGUUCUUCUCCUUCACUACUCUGUUCUGUUUCCUCUUAUCUUCAUCAUCCUUCUCCCAUACGAGCUGGUGGUCGUGUCACUUGACCUCAAUUUGUUGGACAGAGAUCCUAGAGUUAGCCGCCGUGUUAUGGGAUUCAAGCCAAGCAAAUUACGAUUCGGUUUCGAUAUCCUGGAUUAUAGGUUUGUUUUUGGAUCAUAUAGAGGAAGCUGAGAAAUCGUUUGUUAUGCGAAUCUGAGAAGUAUGAAAACUCUUUUCUUUAAUUUGUUUUGGUAUCGUUAUAAGGAGUGAUGCCAUGGGAAAAGAGAUCAACUUGCGGGAACAAAUAUUGAAAUUGUACAGAGAUGAUUACCAUGGUGGAUUGAUGAAGCUAGUUGUCAUAGGACGAGAAUCUCUUGAUGUACUUGAGAAUUGGGUUUUGGAAUUGUUUGUAAUGUCAAAAAAGGUCCCCAAGUAAAUCUGGAAUUCAAGGCAGAAGGUCCAAUUUGGAAAGCUGGAAAACUUUACAGACUAGAGGUUGUUAAAGAUGUUCAUAUACUCCACUUAACAUGGACAUUGCCAUGCCUUCGUCAAGACUAUUUGAAGAAAUCAGAAGAUCAUUUAUCUCAUCUCCUUGGGCAUGAGGGCAGAGGAAGUUUGCAUUCCUAUUUCAAAGUUGAAGGGUGGGCAACAUCUCUGGCUGCUGGUGUUGGGGCUGACGGGAUGCAUCAUUCUUUGGCUUAUAUCUUUCGCAUGGACAUUCGUCUCACUGACUCUUGAUUGGAUAAGGGAGUUUCUCAAGGUUGUUCUGGUUUGGUUAGAACCAGUCAUCUUGCAAACUGUCAUGCAGCUUGCGAAGUGUAGUGCAACUCAACAAAAUGAGGAGUUCAGAGACAGUCAAAGCCGAUGCAGGUCAACAAAUUGAAGAGUUAGAGGCAGUGAAGGCUAGAGCUGCUCAACAAAAUGAAGAGAUAGAGACACUAAA